CAGUAUGCUCAAUUAAAUUUGUAUUUCAUAUAAACAAAGAAUAAUUUUUAGUAUAAAUAUAGCCUCAACAAUAUUUGGGACAUACUUAUACUAAAAAUGAUUUAUUGUUUAUAUGAAAUUCAAAUUUAACUGAGCACCCUAUA
This 143-nucleotide microRNA precursor is filed under the name Dasypus novemcinctus (nine-banded armadillo). RNAcentral describes it as "miRNA (ENSDNOG00000030894.1)". Lineage: Eukaryota; Metazoa; Chordata; Mammalia; Cingulata; Dasypodidae. The record is from RNAcentral.